RNAcentral lists this ribosomal RNA (497 nucleotides) under uncultured bacterium. RNAcentral's name for it is "partial 16S ribosomal RNA". It matches the Rfam family "Bacterial small subunit ribosomal RNA", at positions 28 to 507 of the family's 1533-position model. The record is from RNAcentral.
GAUGAACGCUGGCGGCGUGCCUAAUACAUGCAAGUCGAGCGAACAGACGAGGAGCUUGCUUCUCUGACGUUAGCGGCGGACGGGUGAGUAACACGUGGAUAACCUACCUAUAAGACUGGGAUAACUUCGGGAAACCGGAGCUAAUACCGGAUAAUAUAUUGAACCGCAUGGUUCAAUAGUGAAAGACGGUUUUGCUGUCACUUAUAGAUGGAUCCGCGCUGCAUUAGCUAGUUGGUAAGGUAACGGCUUACAAAGGCAACGAUGCGUAGCCGACCUGAGAGGGUGAUCGGCCACACUGGAACUGAGACACGGUCCAGACUCCUACGGGAGGCAGCAGUAGGGAAUCUUCCGCAAUGGGCGAAAGCCUGACGGAGCAACGCCGCGUGAGUGAUGAAGGUCUUCGGAUCGUAAAACUCUGUUAUUAGGGAAGAACAAAUGUGUAAGUAACUAUGCACAUCUUGACGGUACCUAAUCAGAAAGCCACGGCUAACUACGUG